GUGAGGAAUUUUCCGCAAUGGGCGAAAGCCUGACGGAGCAAUGCCGCGUGAAGGAUGAAGGCCUAUGGGUUGUAAACUUCUUUUCUCAGAAAAGAAUUAUGACGGUAUCUGAGGAAUAAGCAUCGGCUAACUCUGUGCCAGCAGCCGCGGUAAGACAGAGGAUGCAAGCGUUAUCCGGAAUGAUUGGGCGUAAAGCGUCUGUAGGUUGUUUAAAAAGUAUUCUGUCAAAGAUUAGGGCUUAACCCUAGAUAGGCAGAAUAAACUUUUAAGCUAGAUUUUGGUAGAGGCAGAGGGAAUUCCCGGUGCGGCGGUGAAAUGCGUAGAUAUCGGGAGGAACACCAAAGGCGAAGGCACUCUGCUGGGCCAAUACUAACACUGAGGGACGAAAGCGAGGGGAGCAAAUGGGAUUAGAUACCCUUGUAGUCC
RNAcentral lists this ribosomal RNA (426 nucleotides) under uncultured bacterium. RNAcentral describes it as "partial 16S ribosomal RNA". It matches the Rfam family "Bacterial small subunit ribosomal RNA", at positions 354 to 796 of the family's 1533-position model. The record is from RNAcentral.